UACGGAGGGAGCUAGCGUUGUUCGGAUAUACUGGGCGUAAAGCGCACGUAGGCGGCGCCGUAAGUCAGGGGUGAAAUCCCGGAGCUCAACUCCGGAACUGCCCUUGAAACUGCAGUGCUAGAAUUCUGGAGAGGCGAGUGGAAUUCCGAGUGUAGAGGUGAAAUUCGUAGAUAUUCGGAAGAACACCAGUGGCGAAGGCGGCUCACUGGACCGGCAUUGACGCUGAGGUGCGAAAGCGUGGGGAGCAAACAGG
This 253-nucleotide ribosomal RNA is filed under the name uncultured bacterium. RNAcentral's name for it is "partial 16S ribosomal RNA". It matches the Rfam family "Bacterial small subunit ribosomal RNA", at positions 524 to 776 of the family's 1533-position model. The record is from RNAcentral.